CCUACGGGAGGCAGCAGUGGGGAAUAUUGGGCAAUGGGCGCAAGCCUGACCCAGCAACGCCGCGUGAAGGAAGAAGGCUUUCGGGUUGUAAACUUCUUUUGUCAGGGACGAAGCAAGUGACGGUACCUGACGAAUAAGCCACGGCUAACUACGUGCCAGCAGCCGCGGUAAUACGUAGGUGGCAAGCGUUAUCCGGAUUUAUUGGGUGUAAAGGGCGUGUAGGCGGGAAUGCAAGUCAGAUGUGAAAACUAUGGGCUCAACCCAUAGCCUGCAUUUGAAACUGUAUUUCUUUAGUGCUGGAGAGGCAAUCGGAAUUCCGGGUGGAGCGGGGAAAUGCGUAGAUAUACGGAGGAACACCAGUGGCGAAGGCGGAUUGCUGGACAGUAACUGACGCUGAUGCACGAAAGCGUGGGUAUCAAACAGGAUUAGAUACCCCAGUAGUC
RNAcentral lists this ribosomal RNA (443 nucleotides) under uncultured bacterium. RNAcentral describes it as "partial 16S ribosomal RNA". It matches the Rfam family "Bacterial small subunit ribosomal RNA", at positions 338 to 795 of the family's 1533-position model. The record is from RNAcentral.